RNAcentral lists this ribosomal RNA (434 nucleotides) under uncultured bacterium. RNAcentral's name for it is "bacterial SSU rRNA". It matches the Rfam family "Bacterial small subunit ribosomal RNA", at positions 29 to 507 of the family's 1533-position model. The record is from RNAcentral.
AACGAACGCUGGCGGCAGGCCUAACACAUGCAAGUCGAACGCCCUAGCAAUAGGGAGUGGCAGACGGGUGAGUAACACGUGGGAACCUUCCCUAUAGUAUGGAAUAGCCCAGGGAAACUUGGAGUAAUACCGUAUACGCCCGAGAGGGGAAAGAUUUAUCGCUAUAGGAUGGGCCCGCGUAGGAUUAGCUAGUUGGUGAGGUAAUGGCUCACCAAGGCGACGAUCCUUAGCUGGUCUGAGAGGACGACCAGCCACACUGGGACUGAGACACGGCCCAGACUCCUACGGGAGGCAGCAGUGGGGAAUAUUGGACAAUGGGCGCAAGCCUGAUCCAGCCAUGCCGCGUGAGUGAUGAAGGGCCUUAGGGUUGUAAAGCUCUUUUGUCCGGGGACGAUAAUGACGGUACCCGGAGAAUAAGUCCGGCUAACUUCGUG